AGAGUUUGAUCAGUGGCUACGAGGACGAACGCUGGCGGCGUGCUUAACACAUGCAAGUCGAACGGUAAGGCCCUUCGGGGUACACGAGUGGCGAACGGGUGAGUAACACGUGGGUGAUCUGCCCUGCACUUCGGGAUAAGCCUGGGAAACUGGGUCUAAUACCGGAUAGGACCAUGGACUUCACGGUUUGUGGUGGAAAGCUUUUGCGGUGUGGGAUGGGCCCGCGGCCUAUCAGCUUGUUGGUGGGGUAAUGGCCUACCAAGGCGACGACGGGUAGCCGGCCUGAGAGGGUGUCCGGCCACACUGGGACUGAGAUACGGCCCAGACUCCUACGGGAGGCAGCAGUGGGGAAUAUUGCACAAUGGGCGCAAGCCUGAUGCAGCGACGCCGCGUGAGGGAUGACGGCCUUCGGGUUGUAAACCUCUUUCAAUAGGGACGAAGCGCAAGUGACGGUACCUAUAGAAGAAGCACCGGCCAACUACGUG
Molecule: ribosomal RNA, 485 nt
Filed under: uncultured bacterium
Lineage: Bacteria
Description: bacterial SSU rRNA
Rfam family: Bacterial small subunit ribosomal RNA
Source: RNAcentral